UACAGGGGGGGCAAGCGUUGUUCGGAAUUACUGGGCGUAAAGGCUCGUAGGUGGCCAACUAAGUCAGACGUGAAAUCCCUCGGCUUAACCAAGGAAGUGCAUUCGAAACCGCAUGGCUGGAGUCCCGGAGAGGAUGGUGGAAUUCUCGGUGUAGAGGUGAAAUUCGUAGAUAUCGAGAGGAACACCGGCGGCGAAGGCGGCCAUCUGGACGAGGACUGACGCUGAGAUGCGAAAGCGUGGGGAGCAAACAGG
This 252-nucleotide ribosomal RNA is filed under the name uncultured bacterium. RNAcentral describes it as "partial 16S ribosomal RNA". It matches the Rfam family "Bacterial small subunit ribosomal RNA", at positions 524 to 776 of the family's 1533-position model. The record is from RNAcentral.